AUCGUUUCUCUGUCACUACAAACUUUUCUUCAUGGUAAGAAUAGAGAACAUUAUUUAGGUGACACUGCAGAGAUGAAGUGCUCUCCGGGGUAUGUGACUGUGGUACUCUUAAUGCUUGGACAAACCCGUGGGGACUCAGUGACUCAGACGGAAGGCCAAGUGACCCUCUCAGAAAAUGCUUUCCUGACUAUGAAUUGUACUUUUUCAGCUUCACGGUACCCUGCCCUUUUCUGGUAUGUCCAGUAUCCAGGAGAAGGUCUAGAGCUCCUCCUGGAAGCCUUGAAGGACAAGGAGAAAGGAAGCAACAAAGGAUUUGAAGCCACCUACGACAGCAAAUUGAAAUCCUUCCACUUGGAGAAAGGCUCAGUGCAAACCUCAGAUUCAGCUGUGUACUACUGUGCCAUGUACGACACAGUGAUGGGGACUGCAGGGGGAGCUGAGCAGAAACUCUAAGCAGAACAGGGCCCUGGAAGCUGAGUGUCUUUGCCUGAUGCACUCUGGUUCCAGUACAAUCUGUUGUUUAUCCUUCAGUGUCUGGUUGAUACAAAAUCAUACAAACGACUGGAGCAUAGGAGCCGGAACACAUUCCCCAGCCCCAGGUGUUCCUUAGUGAGAUUGAAAACAGUUUGAUCCCAAGAGUUCCUCAGCCAGAGCUUAAUUUCAAGGUAGAUUCACAUAACAAUGAAGUGGUCUUGUGGUCAUCCUUGUAGUGAUCGUCCAGCCCCACAAGUUG
Molecule: non-coding RNA, 733 nt
Organism: Mustela lutreola (European mink)
Lineage: Eukaryota; Metazoa; Chordata; Mammalia; Carnivora; Mustelidae
Source: the annotation of a RefSeq genome assembly